This 254-nucleotide ribosomal RNA is filed under the name uncultured bacterium. RNAcentral's name for it is "partial 16S ribosomal RNA". It matches the Rfam family "Bacterial small subunit ribosomal RNA", at positions 524 to 776 of the family's 1533-position model. The record is from RNAcentral.
UACGUGGGGGGCAAGCGUUGUUCGGAUUUACUGGGCGUAAAGGGCGCGUAGGCGGCAAAUUAAGUCAUCUGUGAAAUCUCCGAGCUUAAAUCGGAACGGUCAGGUGAUACUGAUCUGCUGGAGUGCGGAAGGGGCAAUCGGAAUUCUUGGUGUAGCGGUGAAAUGCGUAGAUAUCAAGAGGAACACCUGAGGUGAAGACGGGUUGCUGGGCCGACACUGACGCUGACAGCGCGAAAGCCAGGGGAGCAAACGGG